RNAcentral lists this ribosomal RNA (198 nucleotides) under uncultured prokaryote. RNAcentral describes it as "partial 16S ribosomal RNA". It matches the Rfam family "Bacterial small subunit ribosomal RNA", at positions 524 to 721 of the family's 1533-position model. The record is from RNAcentral.
GACGAACUGUCCUAGCGUUGUUCGGAAUCACUGGGCUUAAAGGGCGCGUAGGCGGUCGAUCAAGUCAGGGGUGAAAUCCUGCAGCUUAACUGUAGAAGUGCCUUUGAUACUGGUCGUCUCGAGGGAGGUAGGGGUGUGUGGAACUUCCAGUGGAGCGGUGAAAUGCGUUGAUAUUGGAGGGAACGCCGGAGGCGAAAG